AUACAUCUUCAUGGUUUAUUUUCAAGCAUAGUAUUGAAUAGAGCUUCAACUUUCGCAAACCAUGAUUUGAGGAUUUCCUUUGGAAACCUUGCAACUAAGUUGCAUACUUUAAAUGCUCAUCAUCCUCAAACGCAUGGUCAAAAUAUUUUUGAAAAUAUAGCUCUUUCUAUUAUGCCUAGAAAAAUCAUGAAGUGCACACACAAUUUUAGAGAUGAGCAAACAUACCAUCAAGUAGUUCACAAAACUACUUCUACUUUUAAAGUUAUGUGUGUGCUCAAUCAUCUUUCUUCUUUUAAGUUGUUACCAUCUCCUAUAGGAUUUAUGCCUCAAGAGAAGGUAACCACAAAUGACCAUUUUAAAAUAAAAAAGAUGAUUAGAGGCCACACACAACCCUUAAAAGAGAAAUCUU
RNAcentral lists this long non-coding RNA (409 nucleotides) under Phaseolus vulgaris (common bean). RNAcentral's name for it is "long non-coding RNA (PVUL_LNC002126)". The record is from RNAcentral. Lineage: Eukaryota; Viridiplantae; Streptophyta; Magnoliopsida; Fabales; Fabaceae.